This 415-nucleotide ribosomal RNA is filed under the name uncultured bacterium. RNAcentral's name for it is "bacterial SSU rRNA". It matches the Rfam family "Bacterial small subunit ribosomal RNA", at positions 94 to 518 of the family's 1533-position model. The record is from RNAcentral.
AGUGGCGGACGGGUGAGGUAAUGUAUGAGCAACCUGCCUUUCAGUGGGGGACAACAGUUGGAAACGACUGCUAAUACCGCAUAAUGUACAGAGGGGGCAUCCCUUUUGUACCAAAGGAGCAAUUCGCUGAAAGAUGGGCUCAUAUCUGAUUAGUUAGUUGGUGGGGUAACGGCUCACCAAGACUGCGAUCAGUAGCCGGACUGAGAGGUUGAACGGCCACAUUGGGACUGAGAUACGGCCCAGACUCCUACGGGAGGCAGCAGGUGGGGAAUAGUUGGGCAAUGGGCGAAAGCCUCGACCCAGCAACGCCGCGUGAAGGAAGAAGGUCUUCGGAUUGUAAACUUCUUUUAUGAGGGACGAAGGACGUGACGGUACCUCAUGAAUAAGCCACGGCUAACUACGUGCCAGCAGCCGC